Molecule: ribosomal RNA, 372 nt
Filed under: uncultured eukaryote
Lineage: Eukaryota
Description: partial 18S ribosomal RNA
Rfam family: Eukaryotic small subunit ribosomal RNA
Source: RNAcentral
CAAUAGCGUAUAUUAAAGUUGUUGCAGUUAAAAAGCUCGUAGUUGGAUUUGUGGUGGUCCCUGUGGUCCAAUUCUGGUACUUGCGGGGGCCGCCAUCCUUGGGUGGAUCCUGUGUGGCAUUAGGUUGUCGUGCAGGGGAUGCCCAUCGUUUACUGUGAAAAAAUUAGAGUGUUCAAAGCAGGCUUAUGCCGAUGAAUAGAUUAGCAUGGAAUAAUGAGAUAGGACUUCGGUACUAUUUUGUUGGUUUGCGCACUGAAGUAAUGAUUAACAGGGACAGUUGUGGGUAUUCGUAUUGCAUUGUCAGAGGUGAAAUUCUUGGAUUUCUGCAAGACGAACUAAUGCGAAAGCAUUUACCAAGGAUGUUUUCAUUAA